This is an RNA transcript of Pieris rapae (cabbage white), 964 nucleotides long. RefSeq lists it as uncharacterized. The transcript has 5 exons. The record is from RefSeq and is a predicted model, not a curated record. Lineage: Eukaryota; Metazoa; Arthropoda; Insecta; Lepidoptera; Pieridae.
AAGACCUGGCUGUAUGGACUAAAGUCCUUUGCCUUUCCCAUUAGGGAUAAAUUGAGAAAAAAAAAUUUGGUACAAACAACAACAUAGCAUUAUAGGAGUUGAAUGAAUAAAAAUAUUAAAUAGCCUAAAAUUGAGCCACAAUUUUCAAAGGAAGUAUUAAUAUACAAUAACAAUGGCAUUUGGUAAUAAAAACCCGAAAUCUGUUUUAGAAUAUUAUGUACACUUAUAUACCAUGAAAAAAUUAAGUAAAGAAAAGCAUGGCAGAAAAAUUAGAAAAGUAAGCUUAAAUAUGUGUUUUAUCCGUAGUAGUCCGUCUCGUGGAGGUGCUGCACCUGGACGGUGAAGUGCACUAUUAAGACUAUAAAAACUUAAUAACGGAAGCUACUAUAUCCUGGUUAAAAUUGAAUUCAAAGAAAAAGCAAAUAAUAACAACACGAUUUCAAAGUCAACAACUUAAGUUAAAGAAAAAAUUUGCAGAGAAGCUUAAAACUGUGGAACCAGUUUCGAAGAAAAUAUUGAGACAGGCUGAGGUAAAUAACUCAAUAUCAAAUUUAUUGAAUUCCUCUAUUGAGGAUGUUCCAAAAUAUAUUGAUAAUGAGUGUGAAGAUUUAACCAAAUGCAAUAAAAGCAUAACAUCAAAUUCUUUACAACCACCUAUUUAUGAGCCUGAAAAGCAAGAAAAUGGCUUAAUUCAACAACUUCCAGCUUUGAUGCUUGAACCAACUCCACCUGCCUUUAGGACAAAUAAAGACUUUUAUAAUCUACUAAAUAAAAGUUCUGAAAAUAUAAUACCAUGGGAUGCACUUUCAAGAGGGGUAAAAGGUCAAUAUGAAAGAGCUGCCACAAGAAUAAGAAGAAAUUAUAUUCAAUCUUACACAAGCUUCUUAGAAACUCUAACCCCUAUUGAACUUUUUAAUCAUUAUAAGAAUGUGACUGAUGUUUAAUAAAAUGUUUUUAGUUAUGA